Molecule: long non-coding RNA, 3058 nt
Filed under: Zea mays
Lineage: Eukaryota; Viridiplantae; Streptophyta; Magnoliopsida; Poales; Poaceae
Description: long non-coding RNA (ZMAY_LNC004020)
Source: RNAcentral
CCACUGCUCCGCGGGACACACCAUGCAGGCGUAGCUCUCUUCUUCUCCGUGCUUCUCGGUGUGGUAGUUGACUAACGGAUUCCGUGUAGCUCGGCUCGCGGGGGAAGUGGAGGGGGGUGGUCGACCCGGUAUAAAGCAGUGCCCUGCUCGGCUGCCUUGACCUCCAUAACCUAGAUCCAGCGCAGCCGUAGUCGAACACCGCCGCCCAAUCGUCCCACCGCCGCCGCAGUCGAACCACACCGACAGUGCCUCAUUAACAGUAAGAACCCACGCUGGUGGUUCGCCGACAUGUCUGGAACCCGUUCGUGGCAAUCGUCGUGAGUGUGGAGUUCGUGCUGACGACGAAUCGCUCGACGUGAUUCCUCCUCCACCGCAGUGCCGCCAUCCUGUGGACCGAGCCUGCGCUGCCAUACUCCGGUAUGCGUUCGUUUUAGUUGAGUCCAUUGUCGUGCUCGGGGCGUGUAGAAGCUAUCGAUUUGGGUUAAUUCGUGCGCUGGCGCCGAUCUGGUGAACUCCGGCGAGGAAUCCACUGCGACCGUGGCGGCGCUGCCAGUGCCGGUUGGGGGAAGGGGACGAUGGUCUCGCGCCGUUCGAUUGGAAUCACGUGGAGGGGAUUAAAUUUGGGUGUAAUCUGUUCAGAACCCUCGAUCGGUGGAUGUGUGGCUAGGAUUUGAUGCUAGGAACAUUUCGCAGUAUGGAACCAUAGUCCACGACCACUAUGUUCUGAGUCUAGGAAAUCUUGCGCAGAGGCCUCUGUUGUUCUCUUAUUUUGUGCGCACAGUCCAAGGGAUAGAAAAUCCAGGAAAAGUAAAUAGAAAAUGAUUGUUAAUGUAAAAAUAAUUGUUAGAACUUGUUUAAUUCCUAGAAAAUUCAUAUUAAGUCCAAAUUAGCCCAUCCUAGUUCAUAUAAUUUUGUAUUAAUAUUGUCUAUAAAUUAGUAACACUGUUUUAACAUGAAAAGUGUAUUAAAAUUGAUCUCUUAAUUAAUCUUGUACCAAACACAUAAAACCUUUGGAAAUUCAUAACUUAAAAUCCAUAACUCUGAAUUUAAUGAUUCUUUUUCCUAUGAUCUUAUUUUAAUAUGUAGAUUAUUAAUAUGUAUUUUAUAUAUAUGUUUGGUGUGAUGUUAAUUUUUUAUUUGCACUAUGUUUGUUUGUAUUGUGGCGAGUAGAAGAGCAGUGGCAGAGGAGUCAAUUGUUCAGCAGGUAGAAGUUGUUGAGCAGGAGCUCAUUGAAGACAAGUUGUGCCUUGACCACUUUUUACCCAAUAAUGUUCUUUAUUAUCACUUAUCAAUGCAUAGGCUUAAUUUUGAUGGGACCCAAUAUGUCACCUUAGACUGGUUAUCCUUUUACCUUGUUUACCCCUGAAUCAUUUGGGUAGUUUUGGUAUUACUCUAUAUGGUUUUGGGUUUAAUACUACAAUAUGUUCAUGUUCCAAUUAUUCUGUUAUUUUAUUUAUUAUCCAUGUCAAUAUCAUUAUUUUUAAUUGGAACAUGGAGCUUAACUUGAGAAACACGUGCCACCACGAGGGUGGAAUGGGACGCCAUUGGCUGGCUAACUAGGAAAGCUAGUGGAGGACUACCUUACCCGAUAAGGGCAAGGGCAAUAGAGGAGUAGGCGUGUAGGGAGGUUGCCGAGUUGAUUUUGCUGUGAUGGCGGUCAGACGGGGAUUCCUGCAUUCCUCUUCCUAGAAACUGUAGCGGGUUUUCUGAAGCAAUUGGAACUAGGUAAAGGCCUCCUAGUGUUACCCUGCCUCGCUUCCUUGGUAGAGGUGUAUGAGAGUCGCGAUCCCUUGGCAGAUGGGUAACAUGACUUGUGGAUACAGGGUACAACCUCUCAGAGUGUAAAACUGAUAUACUAGCCGUGCUCGCUGUCAUGAGCAGCUUAGGACUCUCGCAUGAUUAAUAUAUGGAACUAAAUUCAAUUUGUCAUUUGCAUUGCAUGGGAUUAUUUAUUAAUUUUGUUCUAUUCUUAUUAUGGUUUGGUAUUUACUUACAUCUAUUAAUUGCUAAUAAAAUUCGACCAACUUAUUAAAGGCAAUGUUCAGCUUUAACCCUUAUUGUUGAUCACCCUUACACAUCACAUGAACUCUCACCUUUGGUGAGUUCAUGCACAUUAUUCCCCACGACUUGUUGAGAUAUGAUCUUUUGUGAGCUCACUCUUGCGAUAUAUAAACCCCCCCACAGGUGAAGAGCAGGUGGUCGAAGAGGAGCCGCACAACGAGGAGUUUGACUUGAUCUAGGUGGCGUCUCCCAGUCAGCUUUAUAGCGCCAGGGAAAUAAUAUUUAGUUCGUUUUAUAUUUAUCAUUUAUUUUGUAAGACUUUCGCUAUGUAAUAAGUACAUUUAUGAUAUUUAUGAUAUUUAUCUCUAUGCAUGUUAUUAUAUGUGUUGUUCUUCCUUGGCGCACAUAUGAGACGUACCCGACUUUAUCCUUUAAAUAUGGGUGUGACACAGUCUAGCGCUGACAGGCGGACCUGCGCGUCAGCUGCACCCUCCCGCGUCGUGUCUUCCUUCCCAAUCGCUAACUGGUGGGUCCCGCUUGCCAAACGCGUUCACCGUCACCAUUGCAUGGGACCCAGGCAUCACACGCUUUCUUCGCCAAGAUCGUUGCAAUGGCGCCCAGCUCGGAUGUAGCAGCCCUCGAGCGCUGCUCGUGGAUCUGGGGGGGAUCUGGCGCAGCAGACUGCUUCCUCCUCGCGUCUCGGUACUAUAAGACCGUCUUCACCAGCCACCGAACCAUCCCCUUCUUUGCCUUUGAGAACUACCGCGAGGGAGAAUAGGUCGAAAUCUAUCGCCGUCGUUGAGUGAAGCACCGUGCCGGGCGCCGCCGCCGUUGGGCUCCAUCGAGGGGGUCAGUGGGAUUUGGCAACGCUUAGAUGAACCGGCCGUAGCACUUGCGGGCGAAGUGCUGAUCGGAGCACGUGGCGAUUUCACGCCGGAGUCAGAGCUCCGCCACGAAUUCUGCAGCGCCCUGCGAGCAGGCCACUUCGUAUCUGUCGCUGGUAAAAAACCCCUUUCUAGUUGUUUGUCGCGUUCUCCCCUACGUAUGGCUCAUUUAA